RNAcentral lists this ribosomal RNA (116 nucleotides) under uncultured bacterium. RNAcentral describes it as "partial 16S ribosomal RNA". It matches the Rfam family "Bacterial small subunit ribosomal RNA", at positions 1367 to 1482 of the family's 1533-position model. The record is from RNAcentral.
UACGUUCCCGGGCCUUGUACACACCGCCCGUCACACCACGAAAAUCGGCAACACCCGAAGCCGGUGGCCCAACCGUGAGGAGGGAGCCGUCGAAGGUGGGGUCGGUGAUUGGGGUG